AGGACGAGCGCUGGCGGCGUGCUUAACACAUGCAAGUCGAGCGGUAAGGCCUUUCGGGGUACACGAGCGGCGAACGGGUGAGUAACACGUGGGUGAUCUGCCCUGCACUUCGGGAUAAGCCUGGGAAACUGGGUCUAAUACCGGAUAUGACUUCAGGUUGCAUGACUUGGGGUGGAAAGAUUUAUCGGUGCAGGAUGGGCCCGCGGCCUAUCAGCUUGUCGGUGGGGUAAUGGCCUACCAAGGCGACGACGGGUA
RNAcentral lists this ribosomal RNA (255 nucleotides) under uncultured soil bacterium. RNAcentral's name for it is "partial 16S ribosomal RNA". It matches the Rfam family "Bacterial small subunit ribosomal RNA", at positions 26 to 285 of the family's 1533-position model. The record is from RNAcentral.